This 301-nucleotide ribosomal RNA is filed under the name uncultured bacterium. RNAcentral describes it as "partial 16S ribosomal RNA". It matches the Rfam family "Bacterial small subunit ribosomal RNA", at positions 509 to 807 of the family's 1533-position model. The record is from RNAcentral.
CAGUCGCCGCGGUAAUACGUAGGGUGCGAGCGUUAAUCGGAAUUACUGGGCGUAAAGCGUGCGCAGGCGGUUCGUUAAGACAGAUGUGAAAUCCCCGGGCUUAACCUGGGAACUGCAUUUGUGACUGGCGAGCUAGAGUAUGGCAGAGGGGGGUAGAAUUCCACGUGUAGCAGUGAAAUGCGUAGAGAUGUGGAGGAAUACCGAUGGCGAAGGCAGCCCCCUGGGCCAAUACUGACGCUCAUGCACGAAAGCGUGGGGAGCAAACAGGAUUAGAGACCCGCGUAGUCCCUGUCUCUUAUAC